AAGGGACCUAGCGUAGUUCGGAAUUACUGGGCUUAAAGAGUUCGUAGGUGGUUGAAAAAGUUGGUGGUGAAAUCCCAGAGCUUAACUCUGGAACUGCCAUCAAAACUUUUCAGCUAGAGUAUGAUAGAGGAAAGCAGAAUUUCUAGUGUAGAGGUGAAAUUCGUAGAUAUUAGAAAGAAUACCAAUUGCGAAGGCAGCUUUCUGGAUCAUUACUGACACUGAGGAACGAAAGCAUGGGUAGCGAAAAGGAUUAGAUACCCUCGUAGUCCAUGCCGUAAACGAUGUGUGUUAGACGUUGGAAAUUUAUUUUCAGUGUCGCAGGGAAACCGAUAAACACACCGCCUGGGGAGUACGACCGCAAGGUUAAAACUCAAAUGAAUUGACGGGGACCCGCACAAGUAGUGGAGCAUGUGGUUUAAUUCGAAGAUACGCGCAGAACCUUACCAACACUUGACAUGUUCGUCGCGACUCUAAGAGAUUAGAGUUUUCGGUUCGGCCGGACGAAACACAGGUGCUGCAUGGCUGUCGUCAGCUCGUGUCGUGAGAUGUUGGGUUAAGUCCCGCAACGAGCGCAACCCUCACUUUUAGUUGCCAUCAUUAAGUUGGGCACUCUGAAAGAACUGCCAGUGAUAAGCUGGAGGAAGGUGGGGAUGACGUCAAGUCCUCAUGGCCCUUAUGUGUUGGGCUACACACGUGCUACAAUGGCAUCUACGACAGGAAGCAAAACGGCAACGUUAAGCAAAUCCCGAAAAGAUGCCUCAGUUCGGAUUGCACUCUGCAACUCGAGUGCAUGAAGCUGGAAUUACUAGUAAUCGUGGAUCAGCGUGCCACGGUGAAUGCGUUCCCGGGUCUUGUACACACCGCCCGUCACACCAUGGGAGUUGGUUCUACCUUAAGGCAAGGUUUUAAACCCUUGACCACGGUAUAGUCAGCGACUGGGGUGGAGUCGUAACAAGGUAGCCGUAGGGGAACCUGCGGCUGGAUUACCUCCUUUCUAAGGAUGAGUGAAAGUAAAAUUUCACUCUAAAUAAUAUACAUCGGUAAUGUUGACCGUCCUCAUUUCUCUUCUUAAAGUAAUGUUUCCUUCUUGUAGGGCCGGUAGCUCAGUUGGUUAGAGCACACCCUUGAUAAGGGUGGGGUCGAAAGUUCGAGUCUUUCUCGGCCCACCAAAACCUAAAUGGGGGAUUAGCUCAUCUGGGAGAGCGCCUGAUUUGCAUUCAGGAGGUAGCAGGUUCGAUCCCUGUAUCCUCCACCAGGAAACAUUUAGUUAUUAAAACUGUAAAUAAAAAUAAUUUAUAUCAAUAUCUAUAUCCGAACAUUAAAAGUUAUUAUUUAAUGUUCAAAAUAAAAAUUUGAUCACAACAUAGAUAAAUUUUCUUUUUAAAAAGAAUUUUUUUCUGUGCAUAAAUCAAGCGUUUAAGGGCGUGUAGUGGAUGCCUUGGCACUGAAAGCCGAUGAAGGACGUGAUAUACUGCGAUAAGUUUCGGGGAGCUGUAUGUAAGCUUUGAUCCGAAAAUUU
RNAcentral lists this small RNA (1519 nucleotides) under uncultured Arctic sea ice bacterium. RNAcentral's name for it is "bacterial SSU rRNA". The stretch from base 1 to 994 matches the Rfam family "Bacterial small subunit ribosomal RNA", at positions 528 to 1533 of the family's 1533-position model. The record is from RNAcentral.